This 471-nucleotide ribosomal RNA is filed under the name uncultured bacterium. Its description in RNAcentral is "partial 16S ribosomal RNA". It matches the Rfam family "Bacterial small subunit ribosomal RNA", at positions 29 to 507 of the family's 1533-position model. The record is from RNAcentral.
ACGAACGCUGGCGGCGUGCUUAACCCAUGCCAGUCGCACGCUGAAGCUUGGUGCUUGCACUGGGUGGAUGAGUGGCGAACGGGUGAGUAAUACGUGAGUAACCUGCCCUUGACUCUGGGAUAAGCCUGGGAAACUGGGUCUAAUACUGGAUACGACAUGCCACUGCAUGGUGGUGUGUGGAAAGGGUUUUACUGGUUUUGGAUGGGCUCACGGCCUAUCAGCUUGUUGGUGGGGUAAUGGCCUACCAAGGCGACGACGGGUAGCCGGCCUGAGAGGGUGACCGGCCACACUGGGACUGAGACACGGCCCAGACUCCUACGGGAGGCAGCAGUGGGGAAUAUUGCACAAUGGGCGGAAGCCUGAUGCAGCGACGCCGCGUGAGGGAUGACGGCCUUCGGGUUGUAAACCUCUUUCAGCACGGAAGAAGCGAGAGUGACGGUACGUGCAGAAGAAGCGCCGGCUAACUACGUG